Molecule: non-coding RNA, 71 nt
Organism: Phrynosoma platyrhinos (Desert horned lizard)
Lineage: Eukaryota; Metazoa; Chordata; Lepidosauria; Squamata; Phrynosomatidae
Source: the annotation of a GenBank genome assembly
GCCAGCAUGGUGGUGUGGUUUGAGCAUUGGACUACAACUCCAGAGAUCAGGGUUCGAAUCCUGGCUUGGCC